CGGAUGGCCAUUAGUGGCCAUUACCACUGAUGAUGACGAAGAUGAUGAAGUAGACCUAUCGUGCUGUUUCAGAGCUUGCAUAUGCGUCUGCUGGUUAGUUUUCAAGAGUUGUUUACACUGUAAUCAGACCUGCAGCAGAGUUGUACAAGUGGUGGGACCCAACUCACUGGAUGAGAGUCUACUAUACAGCAUCUCCACCCAGACUUGAACAACAAAGACAAAGGGAAGGCUAGCUUCUUAUUCAUCAACACAUUCAGAUAGACGUUCAUUAUUGGGAAAGAAACCAGGUCAGAAACAAAAAACAAAUCCACAUAUCACAUUCUAAAAACAAUUUUUGUUAGGCUACAUCUGGAUGCUGCAAUUGUAACAUCUGCUGUAACAAAAAUAGUAAUUUAGUCUUUUUGCAUUUCCAUGACUGAAAUCCUGGGGAACUAAAACAAGCUGUGUUUUAUUCUGUUCUGUUUGUUUCACAGAGAGGGAGAGAGAGAGAGGAUAGUUACACCUGCUUGGCCUAUCAUUUUAAAGCCCUGUGCUGGGCUCCAGAGGGGCGCGCCACCGGGGUGGAGCCACUGCUGAAGUUCACCUGAUACAACUUUGAUCUUCACCAGCGGGGGUGGAGAUGAUUUUAUUUAAGGUGUCUCAGCAUCUCCGUGGCAUUGCGCUGUGUGAGGUACACAGUGAAAUUGCAGGUUUAUUUGCGCUAUGCUGGAUGUGUGCCCUUUCUCGCAAGUGCACACACACACUAAACACACACACACUAAACACAAACACACAGAUCAUUGAACCCCUCUUGGUUCUGCUCCAUCCGGGUUUUGCCCACAGCUGCAGUGUUGUAAAGCUGCAGCUCAGUGUGCCCACCCUUUGGCUGGAGAAACGUGCCUGCAGGUACCAGUACUGGUACUGAUACCAUAUCAGUACUGGAGGGCCUCAGGGCUAGUGCAGCACAGGUAAUAUACAGUCUUUGUCUAUAUGUUCACUCAUCCUCUCUGCCUGUCUGAUUCUGCCAUGUUGGUGACAUGGUGAGUGCUGAAGCUGUGCAGCUGCUGGGCUAGGGGCCUGCUGGACAUAGUGAGGAGAGGAGAGUCUUUGUUAUGGAUGACCACAGACUGUUCUCAUUUAUCACCUAUAUACUGUUAUACUAUAUGUGGCCCUUAAAGCAUCUCAACCAGCUGAAAUAGGCUGACUCAAAGGAAUACAGUAUCUCAAAGCUUAGACUUUCUGUUAUACAGUAGGCUCAUGUAAUAUACUUUAUACAUUUUCUGUUGUGAGUGUUUCUGAUGCCACUUGGUAAAUUAUAUGCAUUCUGUGCUGUCGGAUUAAUUAAGAAGACGAUGUUGAUGCCAUCUACAUUAAAAUACUUUCUGUCUGGCAUCAACAGAACCUAAAACGAAGAAUAAGAGACAACAAACAUUCUCUCUGGUAAUUACAUGAAUCACAUACUGUAUGUAUUCUGAUUCACUGUAUAUUCAGCUAUGUUUAUGAUUGGGAUUACUAAAGCAUCUUUCUGUUGGAGCUUAAAGAACUCAUAAUGUUUCAUUUCCAGUCAACAAUAUGCUAGUGUUGUCUUAUCAGUACUGGAAUAGCGCAAAUCGUCUGAAUAGUAUGUUGGGUACAUUGAUAUACUGUAUUGUAUGUGUAAUCAAACACUCUGAGUGUUUGUGUUAGUCUCAGAUAAGAUACCACUGUUGAAACAUGACAAACAGGUCCAAACAUUACA
Molecule: long non-coding RNA, 1717 nt
Organism: Oncorhynchus tshawytscha (Chinook salmon)
Lineage: Eukaryota; Metazoa; Chordata; Actinopteri; Salmoniformes; Salmonidae
Source: Ensembl